RNAcentral lists this long non-coding RNA (746 nucleotides) under Mytilus galloprovincialis (Mediterranean mussel). Lineage: Eukaryota; Metazoa; Mollusca; Bivalvia; Mytilida; Mytilidae. The record is from RNAcentral.
UUGUUAAGUUGCUGCCCCUUAAUUGGUAAUUUUAAGGAAAUUUUACUGUUUUGGGUUAUUAUCUUGAAUAUUAUUAUAGAUAGAGAUAAACUUUAAACAGAAAUAAUGUACAGCAAAGUAAGAUUUACAAAUAAGUCAACAUGACUAAAAUGGUCAAUUGACCCCCUAAGGAGUUAUUGUCCUUUAUAGUCAAUUUUUAACAAUUUUUAUAAAAUUUGUAAAUUUUUACUAACAUUUUCCACUGAAACUAAUGGGCCAAGUUCAUUAUAGAUAGAGAUAACUGUAAGCAGCAAGAAUGUUCAGUAAAGUAAGACGUACAAACACAUCACCAUCACCAAAACACAAAUUUGUCAUGAAUCCAUCUGCUUCCUUUGUUUAAUAUUCACAUAGACCAAGGUGAGUGACACAGGCUCUUUAGAGCCUCUAGUUUAAGAAACAUAUCUGAAAGGUCAUUAUUUGAUAAUAGUAUAUAAAGCAUUUACUGUAGAAAAUUCUACAUUGGCAUCUGUCAGGUGUCAUUUGACAAUUGUCUUUUCAAAGUUCAUUGACUUUGCACACAAUUGUUAUAUUGGUAUUCCGACAAUUAUUUAUCAUCCAUUAGAUGUAAAGAUGAUGGACAUUAUAAUAACAGUCUAAAAGCAUUAAACAGAUAUUUCAGUUCGUUACUAUACCCCAUACUCCAGGAGAGAAGGAUUUGCUGAUGACUUGUCCGUAUGUCUGUCUAAAUAAUCAUCGAUUUGUCCAUC